UACAGAGGGUGCUAGCGUUGUUCGGAAUCAUUGGGCGUAAAGGGCGUGUAGGCGGUUUGUUAAGUCAUGUGUGAAAUCCCUCGGCUCAACCGGGGAACGACGCAUGAAACUGGCAAGCUAGAGUACCAAAGAGGGGGGUGGAAUUCCCGGUGCAGCGGUGAAAUGCGUAGAUAUCGGGAGGAACACCUGUGGCGAAGGCGGCCCCCUGGUUGGAUACUGACGCUGAUACGCGAAAGCGUGGGGAGCAAACAGG
This 253-nucleotide ribosomal RNA is filed under the name uncultured bacterium. RNAcentral describes it as "partial 16S ribosomal RNA". It matches the Rfam family "Bacterial small subunit ribosomal RNA", at positions 524 to 776 of the family's 1533-position model. The record is from RNAcentral.